GUAUUAAAGGCGACGCCUGCCCAGUGAAUAAUUAAACGGCCGCGGUAUCCUAACCGUGCAAAGGUAGCAUAAUCAUUUGUCUAUUAAUUGUAGACCUGUAUGAAAGGCAAAAUGAGAGCCCAACUGUCUCUUAUAACAAAUCAAUAAAACUGAUCUCCUAGUACAAAAGCUAGAAUACUAACAUAAGACCAGAAGACCCUGUGAAGCUUUAACAAACCCAUUAAAUCAAAUAAUGAUUACUUUCGGUUGGGGCGACCUUGGAAUAAAAAAGAACUUCCAACAUAUUGACCUGCUCAUAAAAUAAGGCAAACAAGCCAAUACUAGACCCAGCACAGCUGAUAAUUGAAAUAAGUUACUCCAGGGAUAACAGCGCUAUCUUCUUUAAGAGCCCAUAUCAAAAAGAAGGUUUACGACCUCGAUGUUGGAUCAGGACAUCCCAGUAAUGCAUCCGUUACUAAAGGUUCGUUUGUUCAACGAUUAACAGUCCUACGUGAU
RNAcentral lists this ribosomal RNA (495 nucleotides) under Trimeresurus stejnegeri (Stejneger's pit viper). RNAcentral describes it as "partial 16S ribosomal RNA". It matches the Rfam family "Bacterial large subunit ribosomal RNA", at positions 1843 to 2604 of the family's 2925-position model. Lineage: Eukaryota; Metazoa; Chordata; Lepidosauria; Squamata; Viperidae. The record is from RNAcentral.